UACAGAGGUCUCAAGCGUUGUUCGGAUUCAUUGGGCGUAAAGGGUGCGUAGGCGGCGCGGUAAGUCGGGUGUGAAAUCUCGGAGCUUAACUCUGAAACUGCAUUCGAUACUGCCGUGCUUGAGGACUGGAGAGGAGACUGGAAUUUACGGUGUAGCGGUGAAAUGCGUAGAUAUCGUAAGGAAGACCAGUGGCGAAGGCGGGUCUCUGGACAGUUCCUGACGCUGAGGCACGAAGGUCAGGGGAGCAAACGGG
RNAcentral lists this ribosomal RNA (253 nucleotides) under uncultured bacterium. Its description in RNAcentral is "partial 16S ribosomal RNA". It matches the Rfam family "Bacterial small subunit ribosomal RNA", at positions 524 to 776 of the family's 1533-position model. The record is from RNAcentral.